This 506-nucleotide ribosomal RNA is filed under the name uncultured bacterium. RNAcentral describes it as "partial 16S ribosomal RNA". It matches the Rfam family "Bacterial small subunit ribosomal RNA", at positions 29 to 523 of the family's 1533-position model. The record is from RNAcentral.
AGUGAACGCUGGCGGUAGGCCUAACACAUGCGAGUCGAACGGCAGCACAGGAGAGCUUGCUCUCUGGGUGGCGAGUGGCGGACGGGUGAGGAAUACAUCGGAAUCUACUCUGUCGUGGGGGAUAACGUAGGGAAACUUACGCUAAUACCGCAUACGACCUACGGGGGAAAGCAGGGGACCUUCGGGCCUUGCGCGAUUGAAUGAGCCGAUGUCGGAUUAGCUAGUUGGCGGGGUAAAGGCCCACCAAGGCGACGAUCCGUAGCGGGUCUGAGAGGAUGAUCAGCCACACUGGAACUGAGACACGGGCCAGACUCCUACGGGAGGCAGCAGUGGGGAAUAUUGGACAAUGGGCGCAAGCCUGAUCCAGCCAUACCGCGUGGGUGAAGAAGGCCUUCGGGUUGUAAAGCCCUUUUGUUGGGAAAGAAAUCCAGCUGGCUAAUACCCGGUUGGGAUGACGGUACCCAAAGAAUAAGCACCGGCUAACUUCGUGCCAGCCGCCGCCGUAA